GUAGAGAAACCUUGCCCCUUUCAACUAGCAUUAAAUAAGUACUUUCAUGUUUUAUUCAUCAUUAGUAAUGUAAUGUUCCUUUUUUUGAUAUGUUGUAAUGUAAUGUUCCUAUUCGUUAGUUUUGUCAUGUUUUAAUUUUAUAAGCUUAUGUAUGCUUAUGUUCAAAUCAAUUCCAGGUGAACGGAAUUGAAGGCAAUGCUGUUUGGGAGGUUCUUGUCAUUGCAGGAUGAUGAUAUUGUCUCAGUGCUUCCUUCUAUGCUGCUUCUUCAACCUUGAUGGCAGAGGCAAAGAGCUUGUCUGGAAGCUCUUUGAUGGUUCAAGCAUAUAUCAAUGGAUAUCUGUGUGGUGUUCACUUGUUGACACAUAUAGUUCUAAUUAAUUUGGUGAAGUUACUUUGGCUGGAGACUUAUGUGGACUUUAAUUUGUUUGGUUUAUUGGAAGACAUUAAAACUAUAUGUAAUUUGUUUGCUUGUUUAAGUUUUUAUUUUGUUGUUACUAAAGCUACUUGGUAUGCUGUUU
Camellia sinensis is the source of this 519-nucleotide non-coding RNA. The record is from RefSeq and is a predicted model, not a curated record. Lineage: Eukaryota; Viridiplantae; Streptophyta; Magnoliopsida; Ericales; Theaceae.